Long non-coding RNA from Oreochromis niloticus (Nile tilapia), 1935 nucleotides. RefSeq lists it as uncharacterized. The transcript is spliced from 2 exons. NCBI's taxonomy places the organism in Eukaryota, Metazoa, Chordata, Actinopteri, Cichliformes, Cichlidae. The record is from RefSeq and is a predicted model, not a curated record.
UGCUCCAUAAGGCUGUUGUUGAAAGAUUUUAUGUUUUAUGUGUUUUUAUUCGUUGUUUUAUUAUCUUUCAUUAAGAAGCAUAUCAUGAAGUGUUCAUAUAUUUCACAAGGUUUCUGUUGUGCAAGCUGACAUUUAACUCUACAACACAAAUAAGUUAGACAGGAAACAGAUGCAGCACCCAAACCACAAGAGUUGAAAAGUGCACCACGUUUCCUAGAGGAAGCAGCCAGACACACAUGUGACACACACACACCCACACACACAACCAUUGGUUUAGAGGAACUUGUAAAAGAGGAAAUGUGAUGUGCUUGCAUACGUGAUGUAACCUAUAAAAAGAACUGUUGCCUGCACUCAGGGUGUGGGUCUCACCAGAGGCCUCACCCGUGCGCGGGGUCUCGCCAGAGGCCUCACCCAUGCACGCCGCUGUUAUUAUAUUCUAACUGUCUGAGUGUCUUUAUUCAACCUGAAGAAUGUCUUAUUAAAAAUAAACUCUUGACAUUUAAUUGGUCCUUCGAGCCGGAUGUAGGACAUCGAAUUAUAACUAAUUUUAUGCUCCAACGGAGUGACCUCGUCGUUUCCUGACAUCGUGGAGAGCCCGCGCUGAAGUCUGUCGACAGCCUCUUUCCUAUGAAGGAGAAAAAGACCAACUACGUGAAUUCGGGGUUGGCCAGCGUUCUUAGUAAGAGGUCCACGAUCCUGGGGAACGAGGAGGAAUCUCUGACCGGCACUUAUAUCAUCAUAACCAGUCUCUUCCAGGUUGAAACCAGGCGACUGGAUCCUGAUCAAGGUACUCCAGAGGAAAAACUGGAGCUCUCCGAGGUGGGAGGGCCCUUAUCAGGUUCUGCUCACAACACCGACAGCGUGCAAAAUCGCUGAAAGACCUUCGUGGAUCCACCAGAGCCACGCCAAAAAAGUACAAGGGGACACAAGCCCAGACGCCAGUCCACCUAUCAUCUAGUGAUCUGUAAGUGGAGGAGAGGGCAGACUGGGUACAUCCCGCCCUCUUGACUUCUCGCUUUCAGUCGACACACUAGGUGAUCUGGUGAACUUGGUCGACCUGAAGAAACCCCAUUGUAGCCCGAGCACUGACCUAGCCCCACCUGCCCGGUAGAGUAAAGGAAGAUCAGUCCAACCUGCAAAACCAGAAGAGCAACCCAUCACUCAAGAUGUGUCCUCAUCCUGUGGAAUCAGAUCCAUGACCAUGGUCUGCCUAUGGAGACUUAGAGUCCCAGAAAAGCAGGGUGUAUCUUUUGUUUAUCCAAAUAAGACACUGCAACCGGAAUCUUCCUGGCACAAGCUUAUAGCCCGAUAGCAACUGAGGAAGAAGAAGACUGUGUUUAAAAAUUUCAGACACUUCACAUGAUGUAGCAAUUGAAAAUGCGCGAGCAAGUGAAUGUCUACUGAAGUCUAUAGAGUAUGGGUGAAAUAUAUUAACAACAGGAGGGAAUGUUGAAAGAUUUUAUGUUUUAUGUGUUUUUAUUCGUUGUUUUAUUAUCUUUCAUUAAGAAGCAUAUCAUGAAGUGUUCAUAUAUUUCACAAGGUUUCUGUUGUGCAAGCUGACAUUUAACUCUACAACACAAAUAAGUUAGACAGGAAACAGAUGCAGCACCCAAACCACAAGAGUUGAAAAGUGCACCACGUUUCCUAGAGGAAGCAGCCAGACACACAUGUGACACACACACACCCACACACACAACCAUUGGUUUAGAGGAACUUGUAAAAGAGGAAAUGUGAUGUGCUUGCAUACGUGAUGUAACCUAUAAAAAGAACUGUUGCCUGCACUCAGGGUGUGGGUCUCACCAGAGGCCUCACCCGUGCGCGGGGUCUCGCCAGAGGCCUCACCCAUGCACGCCGCUGUUAUUAUAUUCUAACUGUCUGAGUGUCUUUAUUCAACCUGAAGAAUGUCUUAUUAAAAAUAAACUCUUGACAGCUGUG